AGCUUCGGUGGUAUAGGAUUGGCUCGCGCGACAUUAGCCAGAUGGUGAGGUAACGGCUCACCAUAGCAAUGAUGUCUAGGGGUUUUGAGAGGAAGGCCCCCCACACUGGGACUGAGACACGGCCCAGACUCCUACGGGAGGCAGCAGUGAGGAAUAUUGGACAAUGGAUGGAAAUCUGAUCCAGCCAUGCCGCGUGCAGGAAGACGGCCUUAUGGGUUGUAAACUGCUUUUAUACGGGAGCAAUAAGGGUUACGAGUAAUCCGAUGAGAGUACUGUAUGAAUAAGGAUCGGCUAACUCCGUGCCAGCAGCCGCGGUAAUACGGAGGAUCCGAGCGUUAUCCGGAAUUAUUGGGUUUAAAGGGUGCGUAGGCGGCCAUUUAAGUCAGCGGUGAAAUUUUGCAGCUUAACUGUAACAGUGCCGUUGAUACUGUUUGGCUAGGAUUUGGUUGUAGUGUGCGGAAUGUGUGGUGUAGCGGUGAAAUGCUUAGAUAUCACACAGAACACCGAUUGCGAAGGCAGCACACUAAGUCAUUAUUGACGCUGAGGCACGAAAGUGUGGGGAUCAAAAAGGAUUAGAUACCCUGGUAGUCCACACUGUAAACGAUGAUAACUCGCUGUCGGCGAUACACAGUCGGUGGCCAAGCGAAAGCAUUAAGUUAUCCACCUGGGGAGUACGACCGCAAGGUUGAAACUCAAAGGAAUUGACGGGGGCCCGCACAAGCGGAGGAACAUGUGGUUUAAUUCGAUGAUACGCGAGGAACCUUACCCGGGCUCGAACGGUGCAUGAAUAUACGAGAGAUUGUAUAGUCCUUCGGGACAUGUAUCGAGGUGCUGCAUGGUUGUCGUCAGCUCGUGCCGUGAGGUGUCGGCUUAAGUGCCAUAACGAGCGCAACCCUUGUCAUUAGUUGCCAUCAGGUCAAGCUGGGGACUUUAAUGAGACUGCCACCGUAAGGUGUGAGGAAGGGGGGGAUGACGUCAAAUCAGCACGGCCCUUAUGUCCGGGGCGACACACGUGUUACAAUGGGAGGUACAGAGGGCAGCUAUCCGGUGACGGAAUGCUAAUCUCCAAAACCUUUCUCAGUUCGGAUUGGAGUCUGCAACUCGACUCCCUGAAGGUGGAUUCGCUAGUAAUCGCGCAUCAGCCAUGGCGCGGUGAAUACGUUCCCGGGCCUUGUACAAACCGCCCGUCAAG
RNAcentral lists this ribosomal RNA (1192 nucleotides) under uncultured bacterium. RNAcentral describes it as "bacterial SSU rRNA". It matches the Rfam family "Bacterial small subunit ribosomal RNA", at positions 205 to 1401 of the family's 1533-position model. The record is from RNAcentral.